CGGUUGGCGGGAGGCUCUGACGCGCGGUCCAAACCCUGGCCGCCGCGACCGCGCCGAGCCUCUGGCGAGACCGACCCGCGCCCAG
This 85-nucleotide non-coding RNA is filed under the name unclassified sequences. RNAcentral describes it as "c-di-GMP sequence". It matches the Rfam family "c-di-GMP-II-GAG riboswitch aptamer". The record is from Rfam by way of RNAcentral.